This 497-nucleotide ribosomal RNA is filed under the name uncultured bacterium. Its description in RNAcentral is "partial 16S ribosomal RNA". It matches the Rfam family "Bacterial small subunit ribosomal RNA", at positions 28 to 507 of the family's 1533-position model. The record is from RNAcentral.
GAUGAACGCUGGCGGCGUGCCUAAUACAUGCAAGUCGAGCGAACAGACGUGAAGGUUGCUUCUCGGAUGUUAGCGGCGGACGUGUGAGUAACACGUGGAUAACCUCCCUAUAAAACUGGGAUAACUUCGGGAAACCGUAGCUAAUACCGGAUAAUAUAUUCAACCGCAUGGUUCAAUAGUGUAAGACGGUUUUGCUGUCACUUAUAGAUGGAUCCGCGCUGCAUUAGCUAGAUGGUAAGGGAACGGCGUACCAAGGCAACGAUGCAUAGCCGACCUGAGAGGGAGAUAGGCCACACCGGGACUGGAGAACGGCCCAAGACCCUACGGGGGGGAAGAGGUGGGGAAUCUCCCGAAUGGGGGAAAAGCUGAACGAGGAACGGCGGGGGAAGGAAUGAGGGCCUCGGGUCGGAAAACUCUGUUAUUUGGGGAGAAAAAAAUUUGUAGUUAAUGAGGACAGCUUGACAGUACCAUAUCAAGAAGGCCCGGCUAACUACGUG